GAUGAACGCUAGCGGGAGGCUUAACACAUGCAAGUCGAGGGGCAGCACGUCUUCGGAUGGUGGCGACCGGCGCACGGGUGCGUAACGCGUAUGCAACCUGCCUUAUGCAGGGGGAUAGCCCGGGGAAACCCGGAUUAAUACCUCAUGAGACCUUUUUCCCGCAUGGGGUGAAGGUGAAAGAUUUAUCGGCAUAAGAUGGGCAUGCGUCUGAUUAGCUAGUUGGUAGGGUAAAGGCCUACCAAGGCGACGAUCAGUAGGGGUUCUGAGAGGAACAUCCCCCACACUGGUACUGAGACACGGACCAGACUCCUACGGGAGGCAGCAGUGAGGAAUAUUGGUCAAUGGGCGCAAGCCUGAACCAGCCAUCCCGCGUGCAGGAAGACGGCCCUAUGGGUUGUAAACUGCUUUUCCAGGGUAGAGAAACUUACGCACGUGUUGCGUGACUGACGGUACCCUGGGAAUAAGCAUCGGCUAACUCCGUG
Molecule: ribosomal RNA, 482 nt
Filed under: uncultured bacterium
Lineage: Bacteria
Description: bacterial SSU rRNA
Rfam family: Bacterial small subunit ribosomal RNA
Source: RNAcentral